UUUAACGGGUAACGGGGAAUUAGGGUUCGAUUCCGGAGAGGGAGCCUGAGAAACGGCUACCACAUUUAAGGAUGGCAGCAGGCGCGCAAAUUGUCCAAUAGUAGUAUUGUUGAGACAGCGAAGAGAAAUAGCAACUUCUGGUACUCAGUAUCAUGGAGAUUGCAAUGGAUGAUAUCUAAACCUGUCAGUGAACUCCAUUGGUGGACAAGUCUGGUGCCAGCACCUGUGGUAAUUCCAGCACCAAUAGCGUAUAUUAAUGCUGCUGCUGUUAAAAAGCUCGUAGUUCGACUCAGAGUACAGGUUGUGUUGUGGCCGUUUAGUUGGUGAGAUGGCGUACUGCUUUCGAUCCUUCUAUUCGGAUUCAACCCAACACGUCAAGACCUGUGCUCUAGGAAUGGUGGUAAUGGUGCCCUGCGAUUAGGUUCCUUUAUUGGGACUGAAAGCGUCUUCGCGUUAACCUCACGCAUACGGGUCGACCACCGAUGUUACUGUGAACAAAUUAGUGUGUCCAAAGCAGGCGUUCGCCUUGAAUGAUAAAGCAUGGAAUAACAAGGGAUCGAUUCUCUCGAGUCUUCUUGUUGGUUCUUGCCUCGAGAAGGAGCAAUUCAAGUUACAGACUUAUUCUCAGUCUCUUCGGAGAUUGAGUCUCAGACUGUGACCCAAUGGGAUCAAGAGGGAUUGCCGGGGUCGUACGUACUCCCAUGUCAGAGGUGAAAUUCUUAGAUCGUGGGAAGACGAACUUCUGCGAAAGCAUUCGACAAGAAUGUUUUUAUUAAUUAAGAACGAGAGUGUGGGGAUCGAAGAUGAUCAGAUACCGUCGUAGUCCACUACUGUAAACGAUGCCGUCUCAGGAUCGAGAGGUGCAUAUUAAUGAUUUUUAUGGCACUAACCCCUGAAACGAGAAAUUAAAGAUUAUGGGUUUAGGGGGGAGUACAUUCGCAAGGCUGAAAUUUAAAGGAAUUGACGGAAUGAUAUUAUUAGGUGUGGAGUAUGCGGCUUAAUUUGACCCAACACGGGGAAUUUUACUAGGUCAGGACAAUGCCAGGAUUGACAGAUUGAGAGCUUUUUCUCGAUUUAUUGUGUGGUGGUGCAUGGCCGCUCCUGGUUGGUGGAGUGAUUUGUCUGGUUGAUUCCGUUAACGAACGAGAUCUCGACCCUUAAAUAGGCUUACCAUCGCUUCGGUCCAUCGUCAUUUCGGUGACAUCCAUGGUGGACUUAGAAGC
Molecule: ribosomal RNA, 1223 nt
Filed under: metagenome
Description: SSU rRNA
Rfam family: Eukaryotic small subunit ribosomal RNA
Source: RNAcentral